RNAcentral lists this ribosomal RNA (495 nucleotides) under uncultured bacterium. RNAcentral describes it as "partial 16S ribosomal RNA". It matches the Rfam family "Bacterial small subunit ribosomal RNA", at positions 28 to 507 of the family's 1533-position model. The record is from RNAcentral.
GACGAACGCUGGCGGCGUGCCUAAUACAUGCAAGUAGAACGCUGAAGGAGGAGCUUGCUUCUCUGGAUGAGUUGCGAACGGGUGAGUAACGCGUAGGUAACCUGCCUGGUAGCGGGGGAUAACUAUUGGAAACGAUAGCUAAUACCGCAUAAGAGUAGAUGUUGCAUGACAUUUGCUUAAAAGGUGCAAUUGCAUCACUACCAGAUGGACCUGCGUUGUAUUAGCUAGUUGGUGAGGUAACGGCUCACCAAGGCAACGAUACAUAGCCGACCUGAGAGGGUGAUCGGCCACACUGGGACUGAGACACGGCCCAGACUCCUACGGGAGGCAGCAGUAGGGAAUCUUCGGCAAUGGACGGAAGUCUGACCGAGCAACGCCGCGUGAGUGAAGAAGGUUUUCGGAUCGUAAAGCUCUGUUGUAAGAGAAGAACGAGUGUGAGAGUGGAAAGUUCACACUGUGACGGUAGCUUACCAGAAAGGAACGGCUAACUACGUG